GUAGGUGUGGCUCAGUUGGUUAGAGCGUUGGUCUCAUAUCGUUCGAUCGUUUUCGACAAAGUAUGACUUGGUUAGAAAUCAGGGUAAUCCAAAGGUCGAGAGUUCGAGCCUCUCCACCGACA
Molecule: transfer RNA, 122 nt
Filed under: Fusarium langsethiae
Lineage: Eukaryota; Fungi; Ascomycota; Sordariomycetes; Hypocreales; Nectriaceae
Rfam family: tRNA
About the family: Transfer RNA (tRNA) molecules are approximately 80 nucleotides in length. Their secondary structure includes four short double-helical elements and three loops (D, anti-codon, and T loops).
Source: Rfam by way of RNAcentral